AGGAUGCCAAAAUGACCCCUGAAAGGCACACUGAACUCCUAAGUGACCAUUUCCUACCAUUAUCUAUACAGCAUUUAAUCUUCAUUAGGGUCGCGGGGGGGCUGGAGUCUAUCCCAGCUGACUUAGGGCAAAGGCAGGGGACACCUGGACAGGUAACAGUCUAUCACAGGGCUACAUAUAGAGACAAACAAUCACACUUGCAUUCACACCUACGGACAAUUUAGAAUUAUCAACUAACUUCAGCCUGUUUUUGAACUGUGAGGAAGCCGGAGUAAAUCCAUGCAUGCACAGGGGGAACAUGUAAAUUCCAUGCGGAAAGAUCCUGGGAAGGCCGGGAAGCGAACCAGGGAUCUUCUCGUUGCAAGGAGAAAGUGCUAACCACCGAGCUACUGUGUAUCCUUCCUACCAUUAUAAAAAGAAGAAUCAAGCCUUUUGGAUAGAAAUUGUUUCCAUGCAGGAAAAUGCUUCACAGAAAACAAAAAAAAAACAAACAAAAAAAACAAAACACUGUUGCUAUGGAAGUAAAAGAAGAAAAAAAAUCACUGUGUAGUGACCAUCAUUCCCUGACCUCAACCCUACUGAGGACCUGUGGAGCAUUCUUAAAACAAAAAUCCAUGAGGGUGGGCGGCAGUCUCCCUCGAAACAGCAGCUCUGGGAGAAAUACACUGUAAUGAAAUACAGGCAAAAACUACACACAGACCAAAAGUUUAAAGGACGGGAUGUUAUAAGUUGGCAUUUAGCAUCAACAAAGACGAAUGUAUAGUACUGGUGUUGUCAAAAUGCCACCCACCGCAAUUUUUGAUCAUGAGGCUAUUUUCUGAUUUUUAAUAAAUAAUCACUUCAAGAAUCCUUUCCUUUCCCGAUGGGGCAUUGCAUUUCAGUCUGAAAUGGUUCAUCCCUGCUGAAACUGAGGACCACACUUGGGAAUUUCCUGUAUAAAUGAUAGACAACACUUAAAUAAAUCAUUGUGUAAUAUGUUGUGACAUAUAUUUCUUUCAUACACUGACUUAUUU
Long non-coding RNA from Amphiprion ocellaris (clown anemonefish), 1013 nucleotides. Lineage: Eukaryota; Metazoa; Chordata; Actinopteri; Pomacentridae. The record is from Ensembl.